UACAGAGGUCCCAAGCGUUGUUCGGAUUUAUUGGGCGUAAGGGGUGCGUAGGCGGUUGCCUAAGUCAGAUGUGAAAUCCCGGGGCUCAACCUCGGAACUGCAUUUGAUACUGGGUAACUUGAGUACUGGAGGGGAGACUGGAAUUUACGGUGUAGCAGUGAAAUGCGUAGAUAUCGUAAGGAAGACCAGUGGCGAAGGCGAGUCUCUGGACAGUUACUGACGCUGAGGCACGAAGGCCAGGGGAGCAAACGGG
Molecule: ribosomal RNA, 253 nt
Filed under: uncultured bacterium
Lineage: Bacteria
Description: partial 16S ribosomal RNA
Rfam family: Bacterial small subunit ribosomal RNA
Source: RNAcentral